Molecule: long non-coding RNA, 887 nt
Organism: Astyanax mexicanus (Mexican tetra)
Lineage: Eukaryota; Metazoa; Chordata; Actinopteri; Characiformes; Acestrorhamphidae
Exons: 4
Source: RefSeq, a predicted model, not a curated record
UUGUCUGAUACGUGUCCUCAGGUGCAGCGUAUGAAAACAUUUUAGUUCUGCUUUCAAGCCUUAAGUUAAGUAAUUCUUUAAAAAAAAAGGUAUAAAGAGCACUGGAUGUUAAUCUACACAGAUUUCUCUCCUGAAAUCUGUUUAUUUGGACCUGCACAACGCAUUCCAAAAAAAGAUGUGGUUGAGGCAAAAGAAGACUGGAAAGGGCUGCAACACACUUUCCCAAGUGGAGUUUUCUGGAGUGAGGCAACAGAAGGCUGGAAAGCAGGACGUCCGCUCCAGGUUCGGACUUCAGAGGACCAGACACUGCUGAAUAUAGUCAUCCUAAUUAUACAGGAUUCAAUCUGUAUGCUAUUCAGGUCAUCUGGCCAGGAAAGUAAGACCACAGCAUGUACAGCUCUGAAAAAAAAAAGAGACCACUUAAUGAUGAUGUUUUUCCUUGAUUUUACCUAAUUGAAAAACUCUGGAAUAUAAUCUGAACUGCUUGAAUUUUUGUACCAGGAGUGGUAUAUCCAAGUUAUCCAAAAGCAGUGUGUAAGACUGGUGGAGGAGAACAUGAUGCCAAGAUCCUGAAAACUCUGAUUACAAACCAAGAUUAUUCCACCAAAUAUUGAUUUCUGAACUCUUGUUCUCUGUGCAGUAUUAGAGGUCUGAUUGUUCUGCAUCUCUCUCUUUUUGUUUUGCAAAUAAAUGCUCUAAAUGACUUUUUUUUUUUUUUUUGGAAUUUAGGAGAAAUGUUGUCCGUAGUUUAUAGAAUAAAACAUCAAUGUUCAUUUUGCUCAAACAUCUAUCUAUAAAUAGCAAAAUCAGAGAAACUGAUAUUAUUUUCCAGAGCUGUAUAUCCUUAUCCUCAUAUCACUUUAAACAGUUCAGCAUGUUUAUUAAUA